RNAcentral lists this ribosomal RNA (497 nucleotides) under uncultured bacterium. Its description in RNAcentral is "partial 16S ribosomal RNA". It matches the Rfam family "Bacterial small subunit ribosomal RNA", at positions 28 to 507 of the family's 1533-position model. The record is from RNAcentral.
GAUGAACGCUGGCGGCGUGCCUAAUACAUGCAAGUCGAACGCUGAAGCUUGGUGCUUGCACCGAGCGGAUGAGUUGCGAACGGGUGAGUAACGCGUAGGUAACCUGCCUCUUAGCGGGGGAUAACUAUUGGAAACGAUAGCUAAUACCGCAUAAAAGUCGAUAUCGCAUGAUAUUGAUUUGAAAGGUGCAAAUGCAUCACUAAGAGAUGGACCUGCGUUGUAUUAGCUAGUUGGUGAGGUAACGGCUCACCAAGGCGACGAUACAUAGCCGACCUGAGAGGGUGGUCGGCCACACUGGGACUGAGACACGGCCCAGACGGCUACGGGAGGCAGCAGGAGGGAAUCUUCGGCAAUGGGGGCAACCCUGACCGAGCAACGCCGCGGGAGUGAAGAAGGGUGUCGGAUCGUAAAGCUCGGUUGUAAGAGAAGAACGAGUGUGAGAGUGGAAAGUUCACACUGUGACGGUAACUUACCAGAAAGGGACGGCUAACUACGUG